This 692-nucleotide ribosomal RNA is filed under the name uncultured bacterium. RNAcentral's name for it is "bacterial SSU rRNA". It matches the Rfam family "Bacterial small subunit ribosomal RNA", at positions 97 to 824 of the family's 1533-position model. The record is from RNAcentral.
GGCAGACGGGUGAGUAACAUGUGGGAAUCUGCCUUGUGGUUCAGGACAACAUUGGGAAACCGAUGCUAAUACUGGAUAAGCCCUUACGGGGAAAGUUUUAAUGCCAUAAGAUGAGCCCGCACUUGAUUAGUUAGUUGGUGAGGUAAUGGCUCACCAAGACAAUGAUCAAUAGCUGAUCUGAGAGGAUGAUCAGCCACACUGGGACUGAGACACGGCCCAGACUCCUACGGGAGGCAGCAGUGGGGAAUCUUGCACAAUGGAGGAAACUCUGAUGCAGCGAUGCCGCGUGAGUGAAGAAGGCCUUUGGGUUGUAAAGCUCUUUUGUAGGGGAAGAUAAUGACUGUACCCUAAGAAUAAGGUCCGGCUAACUUCGUGCCAGCAGCCGCGGUAAUACGAAGGGACCUAGCGUAGUUCGGAAUUACUGGGCGUAAAGCGCGCGUAGGCCGUUGAGUUAGUUAAUUGUGAAAUCCCAAAGCUUAACUUUGGAACUGCAAUUAAAACUGCUCGACUAGAGUUUGAUAGAGGAAAGCGGAAUACAUAGUGUAGAGGUGAAAUUCGUAGAUAUUAUGUAGAACACCAGUUGCGAAGGCGGCUUUCUGGAUCAACACUGACGCUGAGGCGCGAAAGUAUGGGUAGCAAAGAGGAUUAGAUACCCUCGUAGUCCAUACCAUAAACGAUGAUUGCUAGAUGUU